UUCCUGGUGGGCCUCGGGGUCC
This 22-nucleotide microRNA is filed under the name Mus musculus (house mouse). RNAcentral's name for it is "mmu-miR-7036b-3p". The record is from miRBase by way of RNAcentral. Lineage: Eukaryota; Metazoa; Chordata; Mammalia; Rodentia; Muridae.